AGAGUUUGAUCCUGGCUCAGAAUCAACGCUGGCGGCGCGCUUAACACAUGCAAGUCGAGCGAGAAAGGGAGCAAUCCUGAGUAAAGCGGCGUACGGGUGAGUAACACGUGGAUGAUAUGCCUUUUAGUGGGGAAUACCCUUGGGAAACCGAGGACAAUACCGCAUAAGCCCGAGAGGGGAAAGCAGCAAUGCGCUGAAAGAGUAGUCCGCGGCUGAUUAGCUAGUUGGUAGGGUAAAGGCCUACCAAGGCUGUGAUCGGUAGCCGGCCUGAGAGGGCACACGGCCACACUGGCACUGAAACACGGGCCAGACUCCUACGGGAGGCAGCAGUGGGGAAUCUUGCACAAUGGACGAAAGUCUGAUGCAGCGACGCCGCGUGAGCGAUGAAGCCCUUCGGGGUGUAAAGCUCUUUCGACAGGAACGAUAAUGACGGUACCUGGAGAAGAAGCUGCGGCUAACUACGUGCCAGCAGCCGCGGUAAUACGUAGGCAGCAAGCGUUGUUCGGAAUUACUGGGCGUAAAGCGUGCGUAGGCGGUGCCUCAAGUUUGGUGUGAAAUCUCCCGGCUCAACCGGGAGGGUGCGCCGAAAACUGAGGUGCUCGAGUGUGGGAGAGGUAGGCGGAAUUCCUGGUGUAGCGGUGAAAUGCGUAGAUAUCAGGAGGAACACCGGCGGUGUAGACGGCUUACUGGACCAUAACUGACGCUGAGGCACGAAAGUGUGGGGAGCAAACAGGAUUAGAUACCCUGGUAGUCC
Molecule: ribosomal RNA, 754 nt
Filed under: uncultured bacterium
Lineage: Bacteria
Description: bacterial SSU rRNA
Rfam family: Bacterial small subunit ribosomal RNA
Source: RNAcentral